GGUUUGUUAGCUCAGUUGGUUAGAGCGUGGUGCUAAUACUUGAGAUUAUACGCCAAGGUCGCGAGUUCGACCCUCGUACGAACCA
Molecule: transfer RNA, 85 nt
Organism: Sistotremastrum suecicum HHB10207 ss-3
Lineage: Eukaryota; Fungi; Basidiomycota; Agaricomycetes; Sistotremastrales; Sistotremastraceae
Rfam family: tRNA
About the family: Transfer RNA (tRNA) molecules are approximately 80 nucleotides in length. Their secondary structure includes four short double-helical elements and three loops (D, anti-codon, and T loops).
Source: Rfam